GACGAACGCUGGCGGCGUGCUUAACACAUGCAAGUCGAACGGAAAGGCCCUGCUUUUGUGGGGUGCUCGAGUUGCGAACGGGUGAGUAACACGUGAGUAACCUGCCCUUGACUUUGGGAUAACUUCAUGAAACUUGGUCUAAUACCGGAUAGGAUCUCCUGCUUCUUGGUGGGGGUUGGAUAGUUUCGGCGGUUGGGGAUGGACUCGCGGCUUAUCAGCUUGUUGGUGGGGUAGUGGCUUACCAAGGCUUUGACGGGUAGCCGGCCUGAGAGGGUGACCGGCCACAUUGGGACUGAGAUACGGACCAGACUCAUACGGGAGGCAGAAGUGGGGAAUAUUGAAAAAGGGGCGGAAGCCUGAUGCAGAAACGCCGAGUGCGGGAUGACGGCCUUCGGGUUGUAAACCGCUUUCGCCUGUGACGAAGAGUGAGUGAAGGUAAUGGGUAAAGAAGCACCGGCUAAAUACGUG
Molecule: ribosomal RNA, 468 nt
Filed under: uncultured bacterium
Lineage: Bacteria
Description: partial 16S ribosomal RNA
Rfam family: Bacterial small subunit ribosomal RNA
Source: RNAcentral